UCAAACUUGGUCAUUUAGAGGAAGUAAAAGUCGUAACAAGGUCUCCGUUGGUGAACCAGCGGAGGGAUCAUUAUAGGGUCCUGUUAGGCUCAACCAAACCGUGCUCCAUAACCUAUUCUCUGCUGAGGCAGGGCCGCUCGCCGGGGGAGCCAGCGGCCGGGACGAUAUUCUCGGUGGUCUUGCCAAAGCACCAAGAGAAAACUCUUUUUUCAAAAGCCGUCUCCGCGGCAAAGCAACUCGGAGAACAUAAAGCAAAACAAAAGCUUACAACUCAUAACAAUGGAUCUCUUGGCUCUGGCAUCGAUGAAGAACGCAGC
Molecule: unclassified non-coding RNA, 317 nt
Filed under: uncultured fungus
Lineage: Eukaryota; Fungi
Description: partial contains small subunit ribosomal RNA, internal transcribed spacer 1, and 5.8S ribosomal RNA
Rfam family: Eukaryotic small subunit ribosomal RNA (bases 1-73)
Source: RNAcentral